GGUAAUGAUGACUUCUGGUGAUUCUGAGU
This 29-nucleotide non-coding RNA is filed under the name Rattus norvegicus (Norway rat). The record is from RNAcentral. Lineage: Eukaryota; Metazoa; Chordata; Mammalia; Rodentia; Muridae.